RNAcentral lists this ribosomal RNA (2282 nucleotides) under Bifidobacterium reuteri DSM 23975. Its description in RNAcentral is "bacterial LSU rRNA". It matches the Rfam family "Bacterial large subunit ribosomal RNA", at positions 695 to 2855 of the family's 2925-position model. Lineage: Bacteria; Bacillati; Actinomycetota; Actinomycetes; Bifidobacteriales; Bifidobacteriaceae. The record is from RNAcentral.
UUGAGUCGCCCGUCCUGGACCCGAAGCGGGAUGAUCUAGCCCUGGGCAGGUUGAAGCGCGGGUAAGACCGUGUGGAGGACCGGACCCACCUGGGUUGAAAACCGGGGGGAUGACCUGGGGCUAGGGGUGAAAGGCCAAUCAAAUUCCGUGAUAGCUGGUUCUCUCCGAAAUGCAUUUGGGUGCAGCGUCGGGUGAGUGCUUGCGGGGGGUAGAGCUACUGGAUGCUUGAGGGCCCGUACUGGGUACCGACAGCAACCAAACUCCGAAUACCCGUCAAGUGUAUCCCGGCGGUGAGUCGGCGGGGGAUAAGCUCCGUCGUCGAGAGGGAGACAGCCCAGACCGUCGUCUAAGGUCCCCAAGCGCGUGCUAAGUGGGAAAGGAUGUGGAGUCGCAUAGACAGCCAGGAGGUUGGCUCAGAAGCAGCCAUCCUUGAAAGAGUGCGUAACAGCUCACUGGUCUAGUGGUUCCGCGCCGACAAUGUAGCGGGGCUCAAGCACGCCACCGAAGACGCGGCAAUGGUUUAGGCCAUUGGGUAGGAGAGCGUCCCCCGAGGGGCGAAGCGGCGGCGUGAGCCUGCCGUGGACUUCGGGGGAGUGAGAAUGCAGACAUGAGUAGCGAGAGGCGGGUGAAGAUCCCGUCCGCCGGAUGACCAAGGGUUCCAGGGCCACGUUCAUCGUCCCUGGGUGAGUCGGGUCCUAAGGCGAGGCCGACAGGCGUAGUCGAAUGGAUGAACGGGUUGAUAUUCCCGUACCGGCUUGCGACCGAACAGACCGAGGCCGUGAGUACUAACCUCCGGCCGGUCCCCAUCCGUCCUUCGGGACGGUGGCGGGUCCGGUCGCCGGGACCGUAACGGUAGUAGGUGAGCGCAGGAGUGACACGGAAGGGCAGCCGGCCCGGGAGGUGGUUUUCCCGGGCCAAGCAUUCGGCCCGUCCCCCAGGCAAAUCCGGGGGGCGUAUGGGUGAGGUGCGAUGGGACGCGCGUUGAGCGUGGAUCCGGUGGUCCCGGCCGUCGAGAAAAGCUUCGGCGUGAGGGCGCAUGCCGCCCGUACCCCAAACCGACACUGGUGGUCAGGUAGAGAAUACCAAGGCGAUCGAGCGAAUCCUGGUCAAGGAACUCGGCAAAUCACUCCCGUUCCUUCGGUUCAAGGGAGGCCCCCGAUGGUGAAAGGACUUGCUCCUGGAGCUUUUGGGGGUGGCACAGACCAGGGGGUAGCGACUGUUUACCAAAAACACAGGUGCAUGCGAAGGCGCAAGCCGCUGUAUAUGCACUGACGCCUGCCCGGUGCCGGAAGGUUAAGAGGAUCCGUCAUCCCUUCGGGGGGCAGCGGUGAAUUCAAGCCCCGGUAAACGGCGGUGGUAACUAUAACCAUCCUAAGGUAGCGAAAUUCCUUGUCGGGUAAGUUCCGACCUGCACGAAUGGCGUAACGACUUCCCCACUGUCUCGACCAGGAGCUCGGCGAAAUUGCAGUACGAGUAAAGAUGCUCGUUAAGCGCAGAAGGACGAAAAGACCCCGGGACCUUUACUAUACCUUGGUAUUGGCAUUCGGUGUGGAUUGUGUAGCAUAGGCGGGAGACCGUGAGGCGUGGUCGCCAGACCACGUGGAGUCGCAAGGUGAAAUACCGCUCUGUUCGCAUUGGAUGUCUCACCACGACACGUGAUCCGUGUCUGGGACAGUGCCUGGCGGGUAGUUUAACUGGGGCGGUUGCCUCCCAAAGAGUAACGGAGGCGCCCAAAGGUCACCUCAGCCCGGUUGGCAAUCGGGUGGCGAGUGCAAGUGCACAAGGUGGCUUGACUGCGAGACUGACGGGUCGAGCAGGGACGAAAGUCGGGACUAGUGAUCCGGUGCCGGUGUACGGACGCGGCAUCGCUCAACGGAUAAAAGGUACCCCGGGGAUAACAGGCUGAUCAUUCCCAAGAGUCCAUAUCGACGGGAUGGUUUGGCACCUCGAUGUCGGCUCGUCGCAUCCUGGGGCUGGAGCAGGUCCCAAGGGUUCGGCUGUUCGCCGAUUAAAGCGGCACGCGAGCUGGGUUCAGAACGUCGUGAGACAGUUUGGUCUCUAUCCUCUGCGCUCGUUGGAAUGUUGAGGAGGCCUGCCCAUAGUACGAGAGGACCUGGGUGGACGAACCUCUGGUAUGCCGGUUGUCGCGCCAGCGGCACGGCCGGUUGGCCACGUUCGGAAGGGAUAACCGCUGAAAGCAUCUAAGCGGGAAGCCUGCUCCAAGAUAAGCAUUCCUACAGGCCCAUGUGGCCUGGUGACCCCCCAUGCAGAACACGUGGUCG